CUGGUCUUGACAUCCACAGAACUUUCCAGAGAUGGAUUGGUGCCUUCGGGAACUGUGAGACAGGUGCUGCAUGGCUGUCGUCAGCUCGUGUUGUGAAAUGUUGGGUUAAGUCCCGCAACGAGCGCAACCCUUAUCCUUUGUUGCCAGCGGUCCAGCCGGGAACUCAAAGGAGACUGCCAGUGAUAAACUGGAGGAAGGUGGGGAUGACGUCAAGUCAUCAUGGCCCUUACGACCAGGGCUACACACGUGCUACAAUGGCGCAUACAAAGAGAAGCGACCUCGCGAGAGCAAGCGGACCUCAUAAAGUGCGUCGUAGUCCGGAUUGGAGUCUGCAACUCGACUGCGUGAAGUCGGAAUCGCUAGUAAUCGCGAAUCAGAAUGUCGCGGUGAAUACGUUCCC
RNAcentral lists this ribosomal RNA (400 nucleotides) under uncultured bacterium. RNAcentral describes it as "bacterial SSU rRNA". It matches the Rfam family "Bacterial small subunit ribosomal RNA", at positions 975 to 1375 of the family's 1533-position model. The record is from RNAcentral.